RNAcentral lists this non-coding RNA (45 nucleotides) under Schistosoma mattheei. The record is from RNAcentral. Lineage: Eukaryota; Metazoa; Platyhelminthes; Trematoda; Strigeidida; Schistosomatidae.
AUUCAGCUGAAGAGUCCCAAAUAGGAUGAAACGUGCGUCCUGGAC